RNAcentral lists this ribosomal RNA (169 nucleotides) under Aspidontus dussumieri (lance blenny). RNAcentral describes it as "partial 12S rRNA". Lineage: Eukaryota; Metazoa; Chordata; Actinopteri; Blenniiformes; Blenniidae. The record is from RNAcentral.
CACCGCGGUUACACGAGAGGCCCAAGCUGACAGCCCUUCGGCGUAAAGGGUGGUUAAAACAAUUUUGUAUUAAAGUCAAACUCCUCCCCAGCUGUUGUACGUUUUUGGAGGAAAGAAGCCCCUUCUCGAAAGUAACUUUAAAUUUAUUGAACCCACGAAAGCUAUGACA